This 294-nucleotide ribosomal RNA is filed under the name uncultured Chitinophagaceae bacterium. Its description in RNAcentral is "partial 16S ribosomal RNA". It matches the Rfam family "Bacterial small subunit ribosomal RNA", at positions 61 to 350 of the family's 1533-position model. Lineage: Bacteria; Pseudomonadati; Bacteroidota; Chitinophagia; Chitinophagales; Chitinophagaceae. The record is from RNAcentral.
GUCGUGGGGCAGCGCAGUGUAGCAAUACAUGGGCGGCGACCGGCAAACGGGUGCGGAACACGUACACAACCUUCCUACAAGUGGGGAAUAGCCCAGAGAAAUUUGGAUUAAUACCCCGUAACAUAUAAAGAUGGCAUCAUUUUUAUAUUAUAGCUACGGCGCUUGUUGAUGGGUGUGCGGCUGAUUAUGUAGUUGGCGGGGUAAUGGCCCACCAAGCCUGCAAUCACUAUCUGAUGUGAGAGCAUGAUCACCCACACGGGCACUGAGACACGGGCCCGACUCCUACAGGAGGCA